GAAUGGAAGAUAUAUUAUCUAGAAAAUAAACCUCUUCAAGCUGAUGGUCCAUGAUGUUGUCAGGCUCCAUUUGAUUCUGGAUGCCUCCUUUGGUUAGUAAUUCACCUACUCUUAAUAAUUGCCUGCAAUUUGUAAAUCAACGGUACUUUAAGUAAGCUGACUGGUUGUUCUUUUUCUUUAUCAUCUCAAUAUAGUGAUAGUAACAUAUUUGGGUGGUCUGCAAUGUGUACUUGUACUUGUACAUUUCAAGGUAUAUAAUAGUGAUGCUUGUUACACUAAUAUGUCACAUAGGCAAUGGUGUCCAAGAUAUUCAGAAUAUUGUGAGCGAUGGGCCAAGCCUGAAUAUAUAUGCGUAUCGGUGGAUGAGGAGUAGAAUGACAAGGAGUUGAGCGAUUAGGCUAACUCAAUUAUUUUAGGUAUUUCAUAGUGUUGCUUUCCAUUGUUAGUUCAAACUGAAUAUUUGUUCAACAAAAAACAAGAAGUUUUUGAGUCAUGCCUUUUGUUUUCUUCAUUAGAGAUCCACCCAAUGAAAUGAUCGGGGGUAAGUAAACCCAUUGAGUUGAUGACAUCAUGUGACCGCCGGAACGGCAUGACGUGGACACCUAUGGCAAGGACAGUUGUUGUCCGCGCAUGCGCUUAGCCAUUGAGCCCGUGGCCUUAUUCCUAUAGAUGUACCCCAUCCUCCUAUCCCUUAAUCCUCUAUGGUUGCUGACAGAAUUUGCAGGUUAUUUGACAUGAUUUACGUCACAAAUCUGAAUUUCUCUAGACCUGGCAACUCCUCUUGUCCUUCACAGUCCUUGGAUUCACUGGAGUCUGGACACAGCAGGCAUGCAAAAGGCCCGGUUUCAGUUUGUCCAGAGAUGAGUCAAGUAGACAGGGAAUGGAGGGAAUAGUUUUCUUUGAACUUCUAAAGUUUUGGGAGGAACACCCUGUUUCCAAAUCUUAGCUCCGCCACUGAUAGGUGGGGUUCCCACCAAGGAGGCAGCAUCCACUUCUUCGGAGGACUAGGCCAGAAGUCCCAUGAGCAUCUGCGGAAUAGGAGGAGUCAUAGGAGGCUGAGAGUGAUGAAAGGGAGCACGAGAUGGUGCUCUCGCUGCAAGAUAGGGAGCUAUGCCAAUAGUCGUUGUGGGCUUGUGGCGCUGGUCGCGUGGGCGCAUCACCAACCAUAAUCGUCCAGGCUGUGGCACGGGGGUCGUGUUUUCUGUUGGCCCGACGAUUACACCACCGCGAUGAUAAGGCGACUCCCCCAACCCGAUGGUUAUAAGUUACAGGUUUCCUCUUUCCUUACAUUCCGUCGUGAUGGCACAGUCAUGCGUGCAGUGCCAGCAAUGAGACCAGCAUCGCGUCCCAUCACUGGAUCUACUAAUGAGGGGAAGGAAGAAGGAAGAGCGCAUGUUUUGUAUGGACGCUUUCUUGGGAAGCUAAUGAUUUGAAUCCUUCUGUGAAAGGAAACAGGAAGCUCGGUCUAUUUGUUAAUUAUAAGUGCCUAUUCUUUUACAGGAAACAAUUUAUUCUUCAGUCUCAUUGCCUUUAUAUGGAAGACGACACCAAAAGAGAAGUCUGGGGAGUUGCUUGGUCCUAUGGCAUGUGAAAAUUAGAAUCAAUUGAUGGACGAGCGAUUGAAUCAACAAUUCAACAUGCUGCAAGUUGGGUAGAGGAAUUGAAAUGUAGGUUUGGUUCAGAGGUCUUUUUCUUCAGCGUGUGAUUCAGAUUACAAAUACAAUACGUACUGAGCAUACCAGCGUUUCCACGGCGAACCCCACCAAACUGCCAGCCUAGAUGCACAAGCCUACACCGAUGACGCCCCUUAGGUUUCGGUCUCCUCUGGUGAAUCCUUCAUCGAUACCUUGUUUUCAGUUUCUUCAGAGUCCAGUUGGUUGCCAGUCGAUGGCAGGCAUAUGCAUCAUCUUUCCGUCAAUUUCCCAUCACUGCAUCUUGUUUUCAGUUUCUUUAUAAUCGGCGGUCGGUGACACGACAUCCAUCUUCGUAUAGCACUAGAUGUGUUGCAAACAGUUUGCUUUACCUGUUUGUCGAUUUUUACUCGUGCGGAUCUUUCUAUGCUUUGUGUGGUUCCGACGGUGGUCGCCAUGAUCGAGGUUCCUACCAUCCUGUUCGGUCGAUCACGAGACCAUGGAAUAUCACGACGGAUUCAGUCGUCGACCAAUGUAGUCAGACAGAAAGCUUGACAUUUGCAAAUGGAACAUAAGCACUCGGUGUUAGAGCCACUGCCAGUUGACAAGGCCAUUGAUGUGGUCAAGAUCAGGUUUUGGAUUGGAUAAUGAGCCUCUUUCAGAGAGAAUUACAUCAUAAUGCAUCAUACAUCAUAAUGCAUCAUACAUAGUUGCCUGGAUAAAUUAUGAUUAUGUAUAUUCACUAUGAUUGUUGAUUCCGAAGUCUUCCAGGGAACAAGAUGCCCCACUUGUUAUCAUGUUGUGUGGAUUAAAACAAAUUUAUCACCCAUGGUGUUUAUAAAGCUUAGCCAAAAUUUAUCAAGGAGGAGCGCUCGAGGCAUGCGAUCAUUGGCAAGUAAAUCCAUCUAAGGAGGAGCACUCGAGGCAUGCAAUCAGUUCUGUAGAAGAAGGGGAGGUGCUGGUUGCAGGGUGCUGGAGCUGAGACGACCACAUGCAUGUCUGAUAAGAACAGGCUCAUCGAUGUCACCUCCCUCACCUUUGUCAUCUGCUGUUGUGAUGCGGAUCAAUCUAAACAUGUUUUUUUGGUUAGUUUGUCUAUUUUUUAGGGAUAAACUUCAUUAAUUGAAGCAGCAUAUGUUGGAGAAUGUAGAUUCAGCAUUUGUUUGAGUAGCUUUGGAGGUAUUCUAUACGACCUAUGAGUGAUAUACCCUCCUCUCUCCUCCACCCAUUUCACUCAAGUAGUCAAGUUAACCCAGUACACACAUGUGUAGUCUGCCUUUAGGUGGUUUUCCCUUCGCUACAUAUAAUGUAGUUUUAUGAAUUUUUGAGCUCUUAUUAUACCAGACUAAGUGGUUAUAUUGUAUA
Molecule: long non-coding RNA, 2996 nt
Organism: Hordeum vulgare subsp. vulgare (domesticated barley)
Lineage: Eukaryota; Viridiplantae; Streptophyta; Magnoliopsida; Poales; Poaceae
Exons: 6
Source: RefSeq, a predicted model, not a curated record